Anas platyrhynchos (mallard) is the source of this 358-nucleotide non-coding RNA. NCBI's taxonomy places the organism in Eukaryota, Metazoa, Chordata, Aves, Anseriformes, Anatidae. The record is from RefSeq and is a predicted model, not a curated record.
CCAUUGGCCGGCUCCCGGCACCGCCCUCCCUUCCCAUUGGCUCCGCCGUUGCUAUGGUUACCCGUUGCCCCGGAGACAGAGCCCCGCCUCUCCUCCACCCCCCUACCAUCCCCGGGCCCUGAUUGGCCGCGUGCCGCCACGUGAGGCGCGCUGAUUGGCUGAGCCGCUCGCCAGGUGCGCCGAGGGGGUGUGGGCGGUCACGUGGCGGCAGCGCGGCGCAGCGGGCAGCAUGAAGCACUACGAGGUGGAGAUCCUGGACGCCCGCACCAGGGAGAAGCUCUGCUUCCUCGACAAGGUGGAGCCCAGGCGACGAUCGCGGAGAUCAAAAAUCUGUUCACCAAAACGCACCCCCAGUGGG